Molecule: ribosomal RNA, 399 nt
Filed under: uncultured bacterium
Lineage: Bacteria
Description: bacterial SSU rRNA
Rfam family: Bacterial small subunit ribosomal RNA
Source: RNAcentral
GAUGAACGCUAGCGGCAGGCCUAAUACAUGCAAGACGAACGGUAAGUUGAGUAGCAAUACUUAGCCAAGAGUGUCGUACGGGUGCGUAACACGUAUGCAACCUACCCUAUACAGGAGGAUAGCCUAGGGAAACCUGGAUUAACCCUUCAUAGUAUUAUUGGAUGGCAUCAUUUGAUAAUUAAAACUGAGGUGGUAUAGGAUGGGCAUGCGUCUGAUUAGUUAGUUGGCGGGGUAAUGGCCCACCAAGACGAUGAUCAGUAGGGGUUCUGAGAGGAAGAUCCCCCACACUGGCACUGAGAUACGGGCCAGACUCCUACGGGAGGCAGCAGUAGGGAAUAUUGGUCAAUGGAUGCAAGUCUGAACCAGCCAUGCCGCGUGCAGGAAGAAGGCCUUCUGGGG